Vicia faba (fava bean) is the source of this 304-nucleotide non-coding RNA. The record is from the annotation of a GenBank genome assembly. Lineage: Eukaryota; Viridiplantae; Streptophyta; Magnoliopsida; Fabales; Fabaceae.
AUGUUAAAAAUAAAUCUAUUUUUGUAUUCCUCAUCUCAUGGGCUUUUUAAUGAACCGGUUGGAUUUUUAUUUCAACUGAUCUCACCGUCGAGCACUGCCUCUCCUUCUCUGACCGUCACUACUCAUCAUCGCCAUCGUCAUCACCAUUGUACAUAUUCAAAAUGUCUCAAUCUUUACUCCUCUAGAAUCCCCUUAUACUGUUGGAAUAUAAUACCAGAGAAGAGAAAGAGGAGUCUUAGAAGAGAAGAGGAAACAAGAACACAAGAGCAAGCUAGGGUUGAUUUUGUGGAAACAUCAAGAAUCA